Molecule: ribosomal RNA, 513 nt
Filed under: uncultured bacterium
Lineage: Bacteria
Description: partial 16S ribosomal RNA
Rfam family: Bacterial small subunit ribosomal RNA
Source: RNAcentral
GACGAACGCUGGCGGCAUGCCUAAUACAUGCAAGUCGAGCGAACAGAUGAAGUGCUUGCUCUUCUGACGUUAGCGGCGAACGGGUGAGUAACACGUAAGGAAUCUACCUAUAAGCGGGGGAUAACAUCCGGAAACGGGUGCUAAUACCGCAUAAUAUCUUCUUCCGCAUGGAAGAAGAUUGAAAGACGGCUCUGCUGUCACUUAUAGAUGACCUUGCGGUGCAUUAGUUAGUUGGUGGGGUAACGGCCUACCAAGACGAUGAUGCAUAGCCGACCUGAGAGGGUGAUCGGCCACAUUGGGACUGAGACACAGCCCAAACUCCUACGGGAGGCAGCAGUAGGGAAUCUUCCGCAAUGGGCGAAAGCCUGACGGAGCAAUGCCGCGUGAGUGAAGAAGGCCUUCGGGUCGUAAAACUCUGUUAUAAGAGAAGAACAAAUUGUAGAGUAACUGCUACAGUCUUGACGGUAUCUUAUCAGAAAGCCACGGCUAACUACGUGCCAGCCGCCGCGGUAA